UGCCAGCCGCCGCGGUAAUACGGAGGGUGCAAGCGUUAAUCGGAAUUACUGGGCGUAAAGCGCGCGUAGGCGGUUAUUUAAGUCAGAGGUGAAAGGCCACCGCUUAACGGUGGGACUGCCUUUGAUACUGUAGUGCUUGAAUCAGGUUGAGGUCGGCGGAAUGUGACAUGUAGCGGUGAAAUGCUUAGAUAUGUCAUAGAACACCAAUUGCGAAGGCAGCUGACUAGACCUUGAUUGACGCUGAGGCACGAAAGCGUGGGGAGCGAACAGGAUUAGAUA
This 279-nucleotide ribosomal RNA is filed under the name uncultured bacterium. RNAcentral describes it as "partial 16S ribosomal RNA". It matches the Rfam family "Bacterial small subunit ribosomal RNA", at positions 506 to 784 of the family's 1533-position model. The record is from RNAcentral.